Perognathus longimembris pacificus (Pacific pocket mouse) is the source of this 756-nucleotide long non-coding RNA. RefSeq lists it as uncharacterized. The record is from RefSeq and is a predicted model, not a curated record. NCBI's taxonomy places the organism in Eukaryota, Metazoa, Chordata, Mammalia, Rodentia, Heteromyidae. The transcript has 4 exons.
GUCUUCUCAACUCUGGGACUGGCUAGGAUCUAUACACCAAUGUAGCGGUCAUAUUGACAGACACAGAAUUUUCAUUUGCCACAAGUGUUUAGUUAAAAUUCAAAGUUUUUUUUUUAUAAUGGGAAUUUGAACUCAGGGCCUUGCACUUGCUGGGCUGGCACUUUACCACUUGAGCCACGCCUCCAGUCCUGCUUUUCAGGGAUUAUUUUUGAGACAGGGUCUCACCUCUGGUUCUGGCUGGCCCCUGAGCUGUGACCCACCUGCUGUGGUCCUUCUGUCGUUGCUGGGAUGCACCUGUGCGCUGCACUGCCUCCAGCUUCUCUCCGUGGAGGUGGUGACUCCUGGACUUUCCUGCCUGGGCUGGUUAGCCUGAAACUUCCAUCCUCCUGAUCUCAGCCUCUCAAGUGGCCAGAAUCACAGGCAUGAACCACUGGUACAUGGCUCAAGGUUUAUUUUCAUCAAGAGUACCUUUGAGAAAGCACUGAAAACUAUUGCCCCUGAAAAUCAUGUGUGACUGCUUAUGAUGUACCAUGGAGCUUCCUGAAGAGCUAUUUUGAUGAUCAUGCUUUAACUUUAUUGAAUGUUUUUAGAUGGUGGCACAUAGUAUUCAAUUAUCUCAUUUUAGAAACUAUUUAAACCGUGUCCCUGCUAACAUGGCUGGCUCCUCCGGAGCCCUGCAGUGCCCUUCCCGUGGGCUGCCAGAGGCCGUGGUCUCAGCAGAGCAGGCAUCUAAUAAAGUAAGCACCCUUCACAGAA